AGAGUGAACGCUGGCGGCAGGCCUAACACAUGCAAGUCGAACGGCAGCACAGGGGAGCUUGCUCCCUGGGUGGCGAGUGGCGGACGGGUGAGGAAUACAUCGGAAUCUGCCCAAUCGUGGGGGAUAACGUAGGGAAACUUACGCUAAUACCGCAUACGACCUUCGGGUGAAAGCGUGGGACCGCAAGGCCACGCGCGAUUGGAUGAGCCGAUGUCGGAUUAGCUUGUUGGCGGGGUAAAAGCCCACCAAGGCGACGAUCCGUAGCUGGUCUGAGAGGAUGAUCAGCCACACUGGGACUGAGACACGGCCAGACUCCUACGGGAGCAGCAGUGGGGAAUUUGACGAAUGGGCGCGAAGCCGUGAUCCAGCCAUGCCGCGUGGCGGGAAGAAGGCCGUUCGGUUGGUAAACCGUACGUUUCGUCGACGAAACGGAAACGACGGACGAGCG
This 448-nucleotide ribosomal RNA is filed under the name uncultured soil bacterium. RNAcentral describes it as "bacterial SSU rRNA". It matches the Rfam family "Bacterial small subunit ribosomal RNA", at positions 26 to 485 of the family's 1533-position model. The record is from RNAcentral.